AGGAGUAAAAUCCUCUGCGAGUA
RNAcentral lists this transfer RNA (23 nucleotides) under Chimaera opalescens. RNAcentral describes it as "partial tRNA-Phe". The record is from RNAcentral. Lineage: Eukaryota; Metazoa; Chordata; Chondrichthyes; Chimaeriformes; Chimaeridae.